Spinacia oleracea (spinach) is the source of this 2667-nucleotide long non-coding RNA. RefSeq lists it as uncharacterized. The record is from RefSeq and is a predicted model, not a curated record. NCBI's taxonomy places the organism in Eukaryota, Viridiplantae, Streptophyta, Magnoliopsida, Caryophyllales, Amaranthaceae. The transcript is spliced from 5 exons.
AAUGAAAUUUUUGUCGUGGAAACACUUCAAUGCUCCGCGGUAACGACAAGCCCGGAUGUUGGUCGUAGUUGUAUAAUCCUAAAAUUAAACACGCAUCCCAAAACCGUCGUUAAUAUUAGACAAAAAUACAAAUAAAAUAUGUUCGUCGUUACAUUUCCAAAAUAAACGCGGGAUUUAAAUUUCACUCCCAAAACUCAAACCAGAAAAGAAGCGGCGCAUAUGGAGCUUAAAAUGAAACCCUAAACUUUGCGGUUUCAUAGAGCAGCAGAUCAGAAGAAAUUGAAACUUCUCCUCCAUGAUGAGAAAUUGAUUGGAUUCUACAGUUCUCAGUCAAACCCUCAAAUAUGCGAUUUUGAUCAGCAUGCUCUCAUUUCUCAGAUGCAGUUGGUCUGUAGUUCUGCACUUCAGUUCAAGAUUGGUUUAUGGUGCUUUAGCUUCAAGUGCAUCUUUGAAGUGUUUAAGACCAAAAUUGACUUGUUGAAUUUGUCAAGUUGGUUUAAGGCUCAUGAUUGCUAGGCCUAGCCAGUUGCUUCUCUUGCAGGUCAUAACAUAUUGGUCAUCUUUGAUCUCUAUGUAUAAAUUAUGAGCGUGAACGUGUGUCAGGCUUGUGAGAGAGUGGGGGCAUACGUCGAGUCAGCAAAGAACACGGGGAGGAUGAAGAGAAGAUCAAUUUGUUAGAUUAGGCUGCCAGGUUGAUCGAGUUCAAGCUAGCCUUGUUAGCCAUGAAGAAGGCCAGUCAGAGCAUAUUCAGAGAGAUAUGUUGAGAUUACGUUGAAGGCAAGCUUUGAUCGACCUUCUUAUGAGAAUAGAACAUGAAAGGCAGAGGGAGCUUCAGGUAUUAUUAGAGCAUCAGGCUGUUUCAGAUUUUCCUCAUUGUAAUAACAUUAAGGUUAGUUGCCUUAUCUUCUGUUAUUUAUUGAAAGGAAAUUCUAAUUGUUUAUUUGUUACUGGGAAAAGAAUUACUUCGUCGUCCCCAUGUUGAUAAUAUGUGAUUAGUAAUGAGGAUACUGUUACAAACUAACUAAGUAUCAUAUAUUCAGAUCAACCAAACUGAACAAAUAAUAUGUCAAGAUCAUCCUGUUUACACAUCAUGAUUACCCAUUUCCUGCUGGACAUGGAAGCUUGUAUGAAUCACGAAGUAGUAAAAUAUUGCAUAGGAGAGAGAGAGAGAGCUAGGGAGAGAAAUGCAUGUAAAUGUUGCAGUUAGCUAAUGUUGGAUGAAAAAAUGUUACAUAUGCUAUAACCCGAACUAAAAAGAAACUAAUCAUUUGGAAAAUUACUUCCUAGAUCGCCAAAUGAGGCCUCAGAGUUACUGCUUGCUUGACCAUGUACAAUAGUUUCUAGUCUAAACUCUGUAGAGCGAAAACCUCCCCUGAAAAAUGGAUACGGUGUAAAACUCCCAUUCAUUAUAUAAUUUGCGCACAAAAAAUAAAUAUCCAGUGAUUCCUAGAUAAGAUCCAAGUACACUGUUAUCCACCCAUUAUCCACCCAACUUUUGAAUUGGCAGUGUACCCAUAGGAAUAAACCAAGUGACAAAAUUUAACAAACAAUAACCAAGUGACAAGAUAAAAAUAAUCAUAGAAAAAUAUAUACAUAAGAAAUCCACUAGAAAAAAAAAAGAUUUAAUAAACAAUCAUACCGGGGGAAGGAAAACGAGAAAUAAGUUCAGAAACUGAAUAUACAGUAUACCAUUGGCCACUACAAAUUGAAUCCUCUUCUCUUCUUGUACAACUAAUUAUUGAAACCCAGUCCUUGUUUCGAGAGAAGUAGCCAAUUUCCGUCUUUUAAAAGAAUAAGAACCUACAUUUUGUGGGAUGCAUAAAAUGUUAGACAAGAAACUAAUCUAGAUGAUUCAGAUGAAAGGAAGUAUACAAUUUUAUGAGUCCUAUAGACUUAAAUGAGUUUAAAAUAGUUUUAUUUAGAAGAGUCCUAUAGACUUAAAUGAAAGUUUAUCAAGCUUUUAACUUUUGGAAACAAGAAUGAGAAAAUGAGUUUAACAUAGUUUUAUUCAGAAAAUUUUAACUUAAAUGUCAGGUAUCUGUAAUAUAAUCUGAGCGUGCCUGCUUUUCCAUGAUAUGGAAGCUUGUGGUUGGGAUGAUGGCUUUGGGAGGAGAUUGACUUAGGUGAUUUUAUCUGCGGACAUCAUGCCAAGAUUGGAGGAAAUUCAGAAAACAAUGGAAGAAGAACCAACACUUUCCCAUGUAUAGGUAGCACAAAAGGUGUUUAAGUCGAAGUCUCGUGAUCGGGUUUUGGGUUUUGGAGGAGGAAUAACACUUAAAAAAAUACCAGGACCACAACCUAGUAGGGUGGAACUUCAAUCUAAGUUGAAUGAGGCAAACAAACAAAACCAUGUUCUUACCAAUCGCGUGGAUACGGUACAUGAACAAAACAAUGCACUUAAGAGUCGCAUGAGUUCAGUUGAAGAUGAGCUUAAUGGGCUUAAAGCAUUUAAAGAAGUGUUCUUACAACGCUUUUCAGAAGAUGGCACUCCAAGACACAACACUUCAACUAGUUAAAUUUUUAUUUUGUUCUUUUAUAUUGAACAAGAAUUAUUUAUCUUUUAGCUUUUUUAGAAUUUAAAGACAAGGGGAUGUGAUUUCUGAUUUAACAUAACUUGAAAUUCUAUUGUCAAAAGUAUUUUGAGUAAUGAAAUUUUAAUUUGUUUAA